Molecule: small RNA, 78 nt
Filed under: Arabidopsis thaliana (thale cress)
Lineage: Eukaryota; Viridiplantae; Streptophyta; Magnoliopsida; Brassicales; Brassicaceae
Description: ATSL032760
Source: RNAcentral
UUUUUGUAUGAAAAACUUAUGGUUUUUGUAUGAAAAAUACACCUCUCUCUACUUUUAAUUAAAACUAUAAUUAUUUCU